GACGAACGCUGGCGGCGUGCCUAAUACAUGCAAGUCGAGCGGACGAAUCGAAAGCUUGCUUUUGAUUCGUUAGCGGCGGACGGGUGAGUAACACGUGGGCAACCUGCCCUGUAGACGGGGAUAACACCGAGAAAUCGGUGCUAAUACCGGAUAACACGAAAUGUCGCAUGACGUUUCGUUGAAAGACGGCGCAAGCUGUCGCUACAGGAUGGGCCCGCGGCGCAUUAGCUAGUUGGUGAGGUAACGGCUCACCAAGGCGACGAUGCGUAGCCGACCUGAGAGGGUGAUCGGCCACACUGGGACUGAGAUACGGCCCAGACUCCUACGGGAGGCAGCAGUAGGGAAUCUUCCGCAAUGGACGAAAGUCUGACGGAGCAACGCCGCGUGAGCGAAGAAGGCCUUCGGGUCGUAAAGCUCUGUUGUUAGGGAAGAACAAGUAACGCAGUAACUGGCGUUACCGUGACGGUACCUAACGAGAAAGCCACGGCUAACUACGUG
Molecule: ribosomal RNA, 498 nt
Filed under: uncultured bacterium
Lineage: Bacteria
Description: partial 16S ribosomal RNA
Rfam family: Bacterial small subunit ribosomal RNA
Source: RNAcentral